GGUGGGGUGGCGGAGCGGCUACGCGUACGCCUGCAGAGCGUAUUCACAUGGGUCCGAAAGCGGCCGAGGCCGCCGGGGCUCCCAUCCCCACCU
RNAcentral lists this transfer RNA (93 nucleotides) under Nitrososphaerota archaeon. Its description in RNAcentral is "tRNA-Cys". It matches the Rfam family "tRNA". From Rfam's summary of the family: Transfer RNA (tRNA) molecules are approximately 80 nucleotides in length. Their secondary structure includes four short double-helical elements and three loops (D, anti-codon, and T loops). The record is from RNAcentral. Lineage: Archaea; Thermoproteati; Nitrososphaerota.